AAGUGUAUCGUGUUUCUCUUGGUGUAUC
RNAcentral lists this small RNA (28 nucleotides) under Bombyx mori (domestic silkworm). Its description in RNAcentral is "ovarian small RNA-10709". Lineage: Eukaryota; Metazoa; Arthropoda; Insecta; Lepidoptera; Bombycidae. The record is from RNAcentral.